This 406-nucleotide ribosomal RNA is filed under the name uncultured bacterium. RNAcentral's name for it is "partial 16S ribosomal RNA". It matches the Rfam family "Bacterial small subunit ribosomal RNA", at positions 30 to 526 of the family's 1533-position model. The record is from RNAcentral.
AUUGAACGCUGGCGGCAGGCCUAACACAUGCAAGUCGAACGAGUGGCGGACGGGUGAGUAAUGUCUGGGAAACUGCCUCAUGGAGGGGGAUAACUACUGGAAACGGUAGCUAAUACCGCAUACCAUCGGAUGAGCCCAGAUGGGAUUGGCUAGUAGGUGGGGUAAUGGCUCACCUAGGCGACGAUCCCUAGCUGGUCUGAGAGGAUGACCGGCACCACUGGAACGGAGACACGGUCCCGCCUCCUACGGGAGUCAGCGGUGGGGAAUUUUGCACAAUGGGCGCAAGCCUGAUGCAGCCAUGCCGCGUGGAUGAAGAGGGCCUUCGGGUUGUAAGGUACUUUCAGCGGGGCGGCGUUACCCGCAGAAGAAGCACCGGCUAACUACGUGCCAGCAGCCGCGGUAAUAC